Molecule: ribosomal RNA, 119 nt
Organism: Lepisosteus oculatus (spotted gar)
Lineage: Eukaryota; Metazoa; Chordata; Actinopteri; Semionotiformes; Lepisosteidae
Source: Ensembl
GCCAGCAACCAUAUCACCCUGCAACUCACAACUGGCAGCCCACUGAAGCUAAGCAGGUGUGAGCCUGGUUGGUACCUGGAUGGGAGACCACCUGGGAAAAACUAAGGUUGCUGCUGGAA